GACGAACGCUGGCGGCGUGCCUAACACAUGCAAGUCGAACGGAACUGUUUUGAAAGAUUUCUUCGGAAUGAAUUUGAUUUAGUUUAGUGGCGGACGGGUGAGUAACGCGUGAGUAACCUGCCUUCAAGAGGGGAAUAACAUUCUGAAAAGAAUGCUAAUACCGCAUGACAUAUCGGAACCACAUGGUUUUGAUAUCAAAGAUUUUAUCGCUUGAAGAUGGACUCGCGUCCGAUUAGUUAGUUGGUGAGGUAACGGCUCACCAAGACCGCGAUCGGUAGCCGGACUGGGAGGAUGAACGGCCACGUUGGGACUGAGACACGGCCCAGACUCCGACGGGAGGCAGCAGUGGGUGAUAUUGCGCGAGGGGGGCAACCCUGACGCAGCAACGCCGCGUGAAGGAUGAAGGUUGUCGGAUUGUAAACUUCUUUUAUUAAGGACGAAAAAUGACGGUACUUAAUGAAUAAGCUCCGGCUAACUACGUG
Molecule: ribosomal RNA, 482 nt
Filed under: uncultured bacterium
Lineage: Bacteria
Description: partial 16S ribosomal RNA
Rfam family: Bacterial small subunit ribosomal RNA
Source: RNAcentral